RNAcentral lists this RNase P RNA (316 nucleotides) under bovine gut metagenome. RNAcentral's name for it is "Bacterial RNase P class B". It matches the Rfam family "Bacterial RNase P class B". Rfam says of the family: Ribonuclease P (RNase P) is a ubiquitous endoribonuclease, found in archaea, bacteria and eukarya as well as chloroplasts and mitochondria. Its best characterised activity is the generation of mature 5'-ends of tRNAs by cleaving the 5'-leader elements of precursor-tRNAs. Cellular RNase Ps are ribonucleoproteins. The record is from RNAcentral.
CUGGAUAAUUGCUGCUUCGGUAGAGGAAAGUCCAUGCUCGCACAGCCUGUGAUGACUGUAGUGAUUGCGCUAGCGGAAAAAAUAACGCUAGGUAUGUAGGAGUACAUAACGGCGGGUAGACACCUAAAGGUAACCAUGGUGAAAACCCUGAAAGUGCCACAGUGACGUAGUUUAUCGGAAACGGUAAAGUGGAACGCGGUAAACCCCACAAGCGAGAAACCCAAAUUUGGUAGGGGAGGCUGGAGGAGAGAAACGAAUUAAUUCCAGCAAGCAUUGCUUAGAUAAAUAAUUAUCCUAGACAAAACAUGGCUUACAG